GUGGGCGGGUACAAUUUUCCCACCGGGAAACAGCUAUGGCCAGGAUUUCGACAAAGUCAGAAUUAACCCUCCCAAAGGGGAUAGUUCCUGCAGUUUAAAACAAUUCGGCCUGUGGCCAAGCAGCCGCGGUAAUCCCAGCUCCAAUGGCGUAUAUUAAAGUUGUUGCCGUUAAAAAGCUCGUAGUCGAAUUUCGGCGCCUGAUGGCCGGUCCGCUUUCUUGGUGUGUACUUGCUCAUCGGGCGCUUACCUCCUGGUGAACUCUGAUGUCCUUUACUGGGUGUCAGAGCAAACCAGGACGUUUACUUUGAAAAAAUUAGAGUGUUCAAAGCAGGCCUACGCCCGAAUACAUUAGCAUGGAAUAAUAGAAUAGGACGCGCGUUCCCAUUUUGUUGGUUUCUGAGAUCGCCGUAAUGAUUAAUAGGGAUAGUUGGGGGCAUUUGUAUUCCGUCGUCAGAGGUGAAAUUCUUGGAUUGCCGGAAGACAAACUACUGCGAAAGCAUUUGCCAAGGAUGUUUUCAUUGAUCAAGAACGAAGGAAGGGGGAUCGAAAACGAUCAGAUACCGUUGUAGUCUCUUCUGUAAACUAUGCCAAUUGGGGAUUAGCACAGGAUUUUCAAUGACUGUGUUAGCACCCGAAGAGAAAUCUUUAAAUGAGGUUCGGGGGGGAGUAUGGUCGCAAGGCUGAAACUUAAAAGAAUUGACGGAAGGGCACCACCAGGUGUGGAGCCUGCGGCUUAAUUUGACUCAACACGGGGAAACUCACCAGGUCCAGACACAAUAAGGAUUGACAGAUUGAUAGCUCUUUCUUGAUCUUGUGGUUGGUGGUGCAUGGCCGUUCUUAGUUGGUGGAGUGAUUUGUCUGGUUAAUUCCGAUAACGAACGAGACCUUAACCUGCUAAAUAGACCAGUCGACUUUGGUUGACUGCUGUCUUCUUAGAGGGACUAUCAGCGUUUAGCUGAUGGAAGUUUGAGGCCAUAACAGGUCUGUGAUGCCCC
This 995-nucleotide ribosomal RNA is filed under the name uncultured Sporidiobolales. RNAcentral's name for it is "bacterial SSU rRNA". It matches the Rfam family "Eukaryotic small subunit ribosomal RNA", at positions 428 to 1473 of the family's 1831-position model. The record is from RNAcentral. Lineage: Eukaryota; Fungi; Basidiomycota; Microbotryomycetes; Sporidiobolales.